Molecule: ribosomal RNA, 478 nt
Filed under: uncultured bacterium
Lineage: Bacteria
Description: bacterial SSU rRNA
Rfam family: Bacterial small subunit ribosomal RNA
Source: RNAcentral
AGCGGCAGGCGUUAACACAUGCAAGUCGAGGGGCAGCACGGGUAGCAAUACCUGGUGGCGACCGGCGCAAGGGUGCGUAACGCGUGAGCAACAAUGCCCUAUACAGGGGGAGUAAUCCAGGGAAACUUAGGUCUAAUAUCCCAUAGUAUUUAGAGGAGGCAUCUUCUAUAAAUUAAAGCUUCGGUGGUAUAGGAUUGGCUCGCGUGACAUUAGCUAGAUGGUGAGGUAACGGCUCACCAUGGCAAUGAUGUCUAGGGGUUCUGAGAGGAAGGCCCCCCACACUGGGACUGAGACACGGCCCAGACUCCUACGGGAGGCAGCAGUGAGGAAUAUUGGACAAUGGAUGGAAAUCUGAUCCAGCCAUGCCGCGUGCAGGAAGACAGCCCUAUGGGUUGUAAACUGCUUUUAUAUGGGAGCAAUAAGGUCUACGUGUAGACUGAUGAGAGUACCAUAUGAAUAAGCAUCGGCUAACUCCGUG